CACACACACAAACAAACACACACACUCGCUGGCUCUGCCUAUGGCUAAGGCUUUCUCCAGGCAUCCGCUCCUCUAUAUAAGCCUGACUGGCUCCAGGGCUCCACACUCACCUCUCAGAGCAGAGCUACGGUGCGACACAUGCAAACUCCCACUCGACGCUCAAGCUCGGACAGCGACCUCACGCACACACACACACACAGAUCUCUCAGAGGACAAACGCGGUCAUUAUUGGACCUACAGCAGUCGCGGAGCAGAGAGAGAAUACACUCUUGGACAGCGCUUGACUCCUUACAACACACCUUUAAACAGGAAGCUCCUGGACCCUGGUCAGCUUGACACAGCUGGACUGCCACUGAACCUCAGCUGAAGAAACACACAGACACACACAACACGUCUGGACCUGAACCCAGUAGCUGUGCAGAACCAACAAACACACACUCGCUGGUCCACCAUAGGAUGAAACCGCGGAGGCUUCUACUGCAUGCCCCCCUCCUGCCCACCAUCUCCGAGUGUUUGGAGGACGUGUCCACCCCCUGCCUCCCUCCAUCCCUGGACGAGUACGCUGCGUCCAUCAGAGCCCUGGCCCGCCCCACCUCUGCCCUGCCUGGUCCAAUCAGGUCACCCCGUGGCCAGAGGCCACACCCCCACGCCAGGGCUAGACAUCAGAGUUGCGCUCCCCAUGCUUGCCGGAUAGUGCGGCCAUGCCAUGCUCCUGUUGCCCCCAGCAAUAACAACGACAACAGCAGCAAAGACCCGCUGGACUGGUCGUUUGCACACACACCAGCGAACACACACAGGACAGUGCAAACACACACACUCACACACCGGCACUCGCAAACAGAUGUACGGCCUCGGACUCAAGGACAACGUACAGGUCACACAGACAAUUUCAUGCCUACACUCUGGAUGCUUUAAAACACAUGCGUACACACACACACACACACACACACACACACACACACACACACACACACACAAAAUAGACUUUCUUUCUGCACUAUUUAUUGUGGACUGGGAUCCCUUGUUGCUAAAUGUUUAUAAUAAAAAGAGAUGUCAUUGUCUAGCCUUUA
Alosa alosa (allis shad) is the source of this 1070-nucleotide long non-coding RNA. RefSeq lists it as uncharacterized. Lineage: Eukaryota; Metazoa; Chordata; Actinopteri; Clupeiformes; Clupeidae. The record is from RefSeq and is a predicted model, not a curated record. The transcript is spliced from 2 exons.